GAUGAAGAAGCAGCGAAAUGCGAUAAGUAAUGUGAAUUGCAGAAUUCAGUGAAUCAUCGAAUCUUUGAACGCACAUUGCGCCCGCCAGUAUUCUGGCGGGCAUGCCUGUUCGAGCGUCAUUUCAACCAUCAAGCCCCCGGCUUGUGUUGGGGACCUGCGGCUGCCGCAGGCCCUGAAAAGCAGUGGCGGGCUCGCUGUCACACCGAGCGUAGUAGAUUUCAUCUCGCUCAGGGCGUGCUGCGGGUUCCGGCCGUUAAACCACCUUCAUAACCCAAGGUUGACCUCGGAUCAGGUAGGAAGACCCGCUGAACUUAAGCAUAUCAAUAAGCGGAGGA
RNAcentral lists this unclassified non-coding RNA (335 nucleotides) under soil metagenome. RNAcentral's name for it is "partial contains 5.8S ribosomal RNA, internal transcribed spacer 2, and large subunit ribosomal RNA". The stretch from base 1 to 119 matches the Rfam family "5.8S ribosomal RNA", at positions 35 to 154 of the family's 154-position model. The record is from RNAcentral.